RNAcentral lists this ribosomal RNA (740 nucleotides) under marine gamma proteobacterium BBFL4. RNAcentral's name for it is "bacterial SSU rRNA". It matches the Rfam family "Bacterial small subunit ribosomal RNA", at positions 32 to 763 of the family's 1533-position model. The record is from RNAcentral. Lineage: Bacteria; Pseudomonadati; Pseudomonadota; Gammaproteobacteria.
AACNCUGGCGGCAGGCCUAACACAUGCAAGUCGAGCCGGAAACGAAGAGUAGCUUGCUACUCUGGCGUCGAGCGGCGGACGGGUGAGUAAUGCUUGGGAACAUGCCUUGAGGUGGGGGACAACAGUUGGAAACGACUGCUAAUACCGCAUAAUGUCUACGGACCAAAGGGGGCUUCGGCUCUCGCCUUUAGAUUGGCCCAAGUGGGAUUAGCUAGUUGGUGAGGUAAUGGCUCACCAAGGCGACGAUCCCUAGCUGGUUUGAGAGGAUGAUCAGCCACACUGGGACUGAGACACGGCCCAGACUCCUACGGGAGGCAGCAGUGGGGAAUAUUGCACAAUGGGCGCAAGCCUGAUGCAGCCAUGCCGCGUGUGUGAAGAAGGCCUUCGGGUUGUAAAGCACUUUCAGUCAGGAGGAAAGGUUAGUAGUUAAUACCUGCUAGCUGUGACGUUACUGACAGAAGAAGCACCGGCUAACUCCGUGCCAGCAGCCGCGGUAAUACGGAGGGUGCGAGCGUUAAUCGGAAUUACUGGGCGUAAAGCGUACGCAGGCGGUUUGUUAAGCGAGAUGUGAAAGCCCCGGGCUCAACCUGGGAACUGCAUUUCCAACUGGCAAACUAGAGUGUGAUAGAAGGGUGGUAGAAUUUCAGGUGUACCGGGUGAAAUGCGUANANAUCUNAAGGAAUACCGAUGGCGAAGGCAGCCNCCCUGGGUCAACACUGACGCUCAUGUNCCAAAACGUG